Molecule: ribosomal RNA, 159 nt
Filed under: uncultured bacterium
Lineage: Bacteria
Description: partial 16S ribosomal RNA
Source: RNAcentral
UCACAGGAAACAGCUAUGACCAUGAUUACGCCAAGCUUGGUACCGAGCUCGGAUCCACUAGUAACGGCCGCCAGUGUGCUGGAAUUCGGCUUAUUACCGCGGCUGCUGGCACGGAGUUAGCCGGUGCUUCUUCUGUCGGUAACGUCACACUCGAAGAGU